Molecule: ribosomal RNA, 447 nt
Filed under: uncultured bacterium
Lineage: Bacteria
Description: bacterial SSU rRNA
Rfam family: Bacterial small subunit ribosomal RNA
Source: RNAcentral
CGCCAGACUCCUACGGGAGGCAGCAGUGGGGAAUAUUGCACAAUGGGGGAAACCCUGAUGCAGCGACGCCGCGUGAGCGAUGAAGUAUUUCGGUAUGUAAAGCUCUAUCAGCAGGGAAGAAGAUGACGGUACCUGACUAAGAAGCCCCGGCUAACUGCGUGCCAGCAGCCGCGGUAAUACGUAGGGGGCAAGCGUUAUCCGGAUUUACUGGGUGUAAAGGGAGCGUAGACGGCGAUGCAAGCCAGAUGUGAAAGCCCGGGGCUCAACCCCGGGACUGCAUUUGGAACUGUGUGGCUGGAGUGUCGGAGAGGCAGGCGGAAUUCCUAGUGUAGCGGUGAAAUGCGUAGAUAUUAGGAGGAACACCAGUGGCGAAGGCGGCCUGCUGGACGAUGACUGACGUUGAGGCUCGAAAGCGUGGGGAGCAAACAGGAUUAGAUACCCGAGUAG